ACUAGCUGACAAGAAUUGCAAUUACUCGGUCGUUGUUUGUUGUUGUCUAGUCAAAAUUGGUGGUAUGCGAGAUGUGAAGAUAAAACACAAACAUAAUCAGGUAGUCAUCUUUAUGAAUUUGGUUUCGUAGGACGUCACCAAGUCAAUUUUUAGACGUUGCCACCUGUUCGUGAAUAUCGAUACUCGUUGUGUCAGUACACUCUGCCACUCUUCCCGUCUUUCUACUUAUUCAGUGAUCCAGUUAAGUAGAAGAGUCGAAAAAGUCGCACUGUUGUCUGUUUGUGUCCUGAAGUGUUGAUAGAAAUAACGAUCAUAAUAAAUGGUAUCAAUCAUCAACUGUUAUUGAAGAUUAUUUCUACGAUUAGGAAAUAGGUACUUUAACAAGAACUUAUUAGGUGGACAUGAUUAAUCAUGAACGUAAG
Aphis gossypii (cotton aphid) is the source of this 422-nucleotide long non-coding RNA. RefSeq lists it as uncharacterized. NCBI's taxonomy places the organism in Eukaryota, Metazoa, Arthropoda, Insecta, Hemiptera, Aphididae. The transcript is spliced from 3 exons. The record is from RefSeq and is a predicted model, not a curated record.